Molecule: ribosomal RNA, 769 nt
Filed under: Flavobacterium sp.
Lineage: Bacteria; Pseudomonadati; Bacteroidota; Flavobacteriia; Flavobacteriales; Flavobacteriaceae
Description: partial 23S ribosomal RNA
Rfam family: Bacterial large subunit ribosomal RNA
Source: RNAcentral
UUAAUAAAAGAAAGUAAAUAAGAGCACACGGGGGAUGCCUAGGCUCUCAGAGGCGAUGAAGGACGUGAUAAGCUGCGAUAAGCUACGGGUAUUGGCACAUACGAAUUGAUCCGUAGAUUUCCGAAUGGGGAAACCUAACUAAUUGAAGAUUAGUUGCAAUAGCGCAAACCUGCUGAACUGAAACAUCUAAGUAAGCAGAGGAAGAGAAAAUAAUAAUGAUUUCCUGAGUAGUGGCGAGCGAAAGGGAAAGAGCCCAAACCAAUUAUGUUACGGCAUAAUUGGGGUUGUAGGACUGAAAUGUGAGUAUGUCGAUGAAGUAGAACAGGAUGGGAAACCUGGCCAUAGCGUGUGAUAGCCACGUAUACGUAAAGGAAUAUACUCUAUCAGUAUCCUGAGUACCGCGGGGUCGGAGACGCCCUGUGGGAAUCUGCCAGCACCAUCUGGUAAGGCUAAAUACUCCUGAGAGACCGAUAGUGAACUAGUACCGUGAGGGAAAGGUGAAAAGAACCGCGAAUAGCGGAGUGAAAUAGAACCUGAAACCGUGUGCUUACAAGCGGUCGGAGCAUCCAAGUGGUGUGACGGCGUGCCUUUUGCAUAAUGAGCCUACGAGUUACUCUUCUCUGGCAAGGUUAAGUGAUUAAGUCACGGAGCCGAAGCGAAAGCGAGUCUGAAUAGGGCGUACAGUCAGAGGAGGUAGACGCGAAACCUUGUGAUCUACCCAUGGACAGGUUGAAGUUGCAGUAACAUGUAAUGGAGGACCGAACCGAUA